This is a transfer RNA of Camelus ferus (Wild Bactrian camel), 72 nucleotides long. It matches the Rfam family "tRNA". From Rfam's summary of the family: Transfer RNA (tRNA) molecules are approximately 80 nucleotides in length. Their secondary structure includes four short double-helical elements and three loops (D, anti-codon, and T loops). Lineage: Eukaryota; Metazoa; Chordata; Mammalia; Artiodactyla; Camelidae. The record is from Rfam.
GGGGAGAUCACUCAGUGGUAGAGCAUGUGCUUAGCACGCAUGAGGUCCUGGGUUCAAUCCCCAGCACCUUCA